Molecule: ribosomal RNA, 78 nt
Filed under: Pseudomonas fluorescens
Lineage: Bacteria; Pseudomonadati; Pseudomonadota; Gammaproteobacteria; Pseudomonadales; Pseudomonadaceae
Source: RNAcentral
CUUGACGACCAUAGAGCAUUGGAACCACCUGAUCCCAUCCCGAACUCAGCAGUGAAACGAUGCAUCGCCGAUGGUAGU